Molecule: non-coding RNA, 100 nt
Organism: Hypoxylon sp. CI-4A
Lineage: Eukaryota; Fungi; Ascomycota; Sordariomycetes; Xylariales; Hypoxylaceae
Source: the annotation of a GenBank genome assembly
GCCCGACUAGCUCACCGGUAGAGCGCCUCACUAGUACCAUUCCUCCAGCAGGAUAAUCUCCGUCAUGAGGAGGCAACAGGUUCGACUCCUGUGUUGGGCA